This 541-nucleotide ribosomal RNA is filed under the name uncultured kinetoplastid. RNAcentral describes it as "bacterial SSU rRNA". It matches the Rfam family "Eukaryotic small subunit ribosomal RNA", at positions 615 to 1026 of the family's 1831-position model. Lineage: Eukaryota; Euglenozoa; Kinetoplastea. The record is from RNAcentral.
GCUGUUAAGGGUUCGUAGUUGGUUUCAGGGUAUGUGGGAUGGUGGCGACUCAAGGGUCACAUGCCACCGUGUUCCCCUGCUCUGUAAAGGCGGAACCGGAGCCCCGCGGAGCCUGCCUUUUUGGUUGGGUGAUGCAACUUUCGCAUGCAACUCAUGCAUACGGGCCGUCCGCCGUUAUUCUGUGAGCAAAACAGCGUGUCCAAAGCGGGCAGUCUUGCCCUGAAUGAUAAAGCAUGGAUAACAAUGGAUCGCACGAAGGUCGCUCCUUUUGUUGGUUUUUAAGCCCCAUUCGUACAUUUGAGGCGCGUGUCCCAUCGCAGCGCUCAGUUCGUGAACUACGGGGAUCGACGCUGUGCCGCUGCGCCUGGGCUGCGACUUCAGAGGGAUCAACGGGGACUGUCGGGGGAAGACGUUUGGAACGUCAGAGGUGAAAUUCUUAGACCGUUCCAAGACGAACUUCUGCGAAGGCAUCUUCCAGUAUGUCUUCGUUAAUCAAGAACCAAAGUGUGGAGAUCGAAGAUGAUUAGAGACCUUGUAGUCC